This 253-nucleotide ribosomal RNA is filed under the name uncultured bacterium. Its description in RNAcentral is "partial 16S ribosomal RNA". It matches the Rfam family "Bacterial small subunit ribosomal RNA", at positions 524 to 776 of the family's 1533-position model. The record is from RNAcentral.
UACGUAGGGUGCAAGCGUUGUCCGAAAUUACUGGGUUUAAAGGGUGCGUAGGCGGGUUGAUAAGUCAGCGGUCAAAUCUACAGGCUUAACUUGUGGUUCGCCGUUGAUACUGUCAGUCUUGAGUACAAAUUACGAAGCCGGAAUUCAUGGUGUAGCGGUGAAAUGCAUAGAUACCAUGAGGAACGCCGAUAGCGAAGGCAGGUUUCGGGUUUGUAACUGACGCUGAGGCACGACAGCAUGGGUAUCAAACAGG